Molecule: long non-coding RNA, 312 nt
Organism: Myotis lucifugus (little brown bat)
Lineage: Eukaryota; Metazoa; Chordata; Mammalia; Chiroptera; Vespertilionidae
Exons: 2
Source: RefSeq, a predicted model, not a curated record
CCAGAUGUCAACAUCCCUAAAAGGACAUAAAAUCUUUUGUAACAGCAACCAGCUCUCAUCUUUCUACAUCACUGUCUUCCUCACAACAGUCGACUGAAUAAAUAACUGGUCUUGAGCGAGACCCUGAGACUGUUGAUACGCUGAAGCCUCUCUCUACAAUCUGACCUCAUUCCAGGGCUCCAAUCGCUUCCCACAUCCUACAGUAAACCUCUUAUCUUCCUCUGACAACAAACUCCUACCCUGACUUCCCCAGUCCCCACUGAGGACACCAUCAAUGCCCUUGCACCAGCAUAAAUGCAAAAUCAUCUUAAA